This 497-nucleotide ribosomal RNA is filed under the name uncultured bacterium. RNAcentral describes it as "partial 16S ribosomal RNA". It matches the Rfam family "Bacterial small subunit ribosomal RNA", at positions 28 to 507 of the family's 1533-position model. The record is from RNAcentral.
GAUGAACGCUGGCGGCGUGCCUAAUACAUGCAAGUCGAGCGAACAGACGAGGAGCUUGCUCCUCUGACGUUAGCGGCGGACGGGUGAGUAACACGUGGAUAACCUACCUAUAAGACUGGGAUAACUUCGGGAAACCGGAGCUAAUACCGGAUAAUAUAUUGAACCGCAUGGUUCAAUAGUGAAAGACGGUUUUGCUGUCACUUAUAGAUGGAUCCGCGCCGCAUUAGCUAGUUGGUAAGGUAACGGCUUACCAAGGCAACGAUGCGUAGCCGACCUGAGAGGGUGAUAGGCCACCUUGGAACGGAGACACGGUCCAGACUACUACGGGAGGCAGCAGUAGGGAAUCUUCCGCAAUGGGCGAAAGCAUGACGGAGCAACGCCGCGUGAGUGAUGAAGGUCUUCGGAUCGUAAAAAUCUGUUAUUAGGGAAGAACAAAUGUGUAAGUAACUAUGCACGUCUUGACGGUACCUAAUCAGAAAGCCACGGCUAACUACGUG